UACGUAGGGUGCAAGCGUUAAUCGGAAUUACUGGGCGUAAAGCGUGCGCAGGCGGUUUUGUAAAUCUGACGUGAAAUCCCCGGGCUCAACAUGGGAAUUGCGUUGGAGACUGCAAGGCUAGAAUCUGGCAGAGGGGGGUAGAAUUCCACGUGUAGCAGUGAAAUGCGUAGAGAUGUGGAGGAACACCGAUGGCGAAGGCAGCCCCCUGGGUCAAGAUUGACGCUCAUGCACGAAAGCGUGGGGAGCAAACAGG
RNAcentral lists this ribosomal RNA (253 nucleotides) under uncultured bacterium. RNAcentral's name for it is "partial 16S ribosomal RNA". It matches the Rfam family "Bacterial small subunit ribosomal RNA", at positions 524 to 776 of the family's 1533-position model. The record is from RNAcentral.